UGCCUAAUACAUGCAAGUAGAACGCUGAAGAGAGGAGCUUGCUCUUCUUGGAUGAGUUGCGAACGGGUGAGUAACGCGUAGGUAACCUGCCUUGUAGCGGGGGAUAACUAUUGGAAACGAUAGCUAAUACCGCAUAACAAUGGAUGACACAUGUCAUUUAUUUGAAAGGGGCAAUUGUUCCACUACAAGAUGGACCUGCGUUGUAUUAGCUAGUAGGUGAGGUAAUGGCUCACCUAGGCGACGAUACAUAGCCGACCUGAGAGGGUGAUCGGCCACACUGGGACUGAGACACGGCCCAGACUCCUACGGGAGGCAGCAGUAGGGAAUCUUCGGCGAUGGGGGCAACCCUGACCGAGCAACGCCGCGUGAGUGAAGAAGGUUUUCGGAUCGUAAAGCUCUGUUGUAAGUCAAGAACGGGUGUGAGAGUGGAAAGUUCACACUGUGACGGUAGCUUACCAGAAAGGGACGGCUAGCUACGUGCCAGCAGCCGCGGUAAUACGUAGGUCCCGAGCGUUGUCCGGAUUUAUUGGGCGUAAAGCGAGCGCAGGCGGUUUGAUAAGUCUGAAGUUAAAGGCUGUGGCUCAACCAUAGUUCGCUUUGGAAACUGUCAAACUUGAGUGCAGAAGGGGAGAGUGGAAUUCCAUGUGUAGCCGGUGAAAUGCGUAGAUAUAUGGAGGAACACCGGUGGCGAAAGCGGCUCUCUGGUCUGUAACUGACGCUGAGGCUCGAAAGCGUGGGGAGCGAACAGGAUUAGAUACCCUGGUAGUCCACGCCGUAAACGAUGAGUGCUAGGUGUUGGAUCCUUUCUCGGGAUUCAGUGCCGCAGCUAACGCAUUAAGCACUCC
RNAcentral lists this ribosomal RNA (845 nucleotides) under uncultured Streptococcus sp. RNAcentral's name for it is "bacterial SSU rRNA". It matches the Rfam family "Bacterial small subunit ribosomal RNA", at positions 45 to 870 of the family's 1533-position model. Lineage: Bacteria; Bacillati; Bacillota; Bacilli; Lactobacillales; Streptococcaceae. The record is from RNAcentral.